GUGUCAGCCGCCGCGGUAAUACGAAGGGGGCUAGCGUUGUUCGGAAUUACUGGGCGUAAAGCGUAUGUAGGCGGAUCGUUAAGUCGGGGGUGAAAUCCCGAGGCUCAACCUCGGAACUGCCUUCGAUACUGGCGAUCUUGAGUCCGGGAGAGGUGAGUGGAACUGCGAGUGUAGAGGUGAAAUUCGUAGAUAUUCGCAAGAACACCAGUGGCGAAGGCGGCUCACUGGCCCGGUACUGACGCUGAAAUACGAAAGCGUGGGGAGCAAACAGGAUUAGAUACCCGAGUAGUCC
This 292-nucleotide ribosomal RNA is filed under the name uncultured bacterium. RNAcentral's name for it is "partial 16S ribosomal RNA". It matches the Rfam family "Bacterial small subunit ribosomal RNA", at positions 505 to 796 of the family's 1533-position model. The record is from RNAcentral.